Molecule: long non-coding RNA, 2355 nt
Organism: Neofelis nebulosa (Clouded leopard)
Lineage: Eukaryota; Metazoa; Chordata; Mammalia; Carnivora; Felidae
Exons: 2
Source: RefSeq, a predicted model, not a curated record
CUGGGGAGCUAGCCUGCACGUUGCUGGGGACCAAGGAACAGAGUCCCGCAGGACAGGAAGCAAGGCACAGUUAAGGUGCCGGCAAGCCGCAGACUUAGCAGCUCGGAGGCCGACUGCGACCCGAAACGCGAGACGCCCAGAGCGACCCGACCCAAGUGCGCGCGAGGACACAAUUCCGCCGGCAGCGCCCCUCCUCCCCGGAGCGGAGGCCCGGCCCUCGGGGCGUGGCCCGGAAGCUACCGACCAAUCCGUGUCGCGAGGCUUGGUCACGUGACCGCCGGUCGGCCGAGGGUUUCCUGCCUUCCGCCUCGCAGCUCCGCCCAACGCGGCGAAAGGCCGCUGCCACCACGCCGGCGAGGAGCUUCUCGCGAGAGCAACCCAGACAUCCUGGCCUCCCGUUGGUCCGGCGCUGGCUGGCACCGCGCCCUCGAACCGAGAGCCGUGAAGUGCGGUGGCUCCGGUACAAGUGAUGGAGGCGCCCCCAGGACAGCAGGCUCGUCGGGGCUGCCUUGGCUUCUUCUUGCCGCAUCCAGCCAGGCCCCGGGGACCCCGAGGCCCUGGACGUGCACUUCCCGGGGCCGGAAGCGGCGACCGGGUUUGCAGGCGUCCGUGGGGGCCUCGGCUCGCAUGAUUUCCCGGCUUCUCAGAAUCUUUGUCGCCACUGCCACUACACCCACUGAAAAUCUGAGGCACGAGAGAACAUUCCAGCAGGAAAUCCAGGGUCGACCUCAUCUGAGAUGUGAUGUGAGCACCGCUCUUGUUUGCGCGUUCCACGGUGCUCAAGCGUCUCCCCAGAAGGGUUCACCUAUCCUUUAACCACCCUGCGGGGCGCGCUUUGUCCUCCCCCUUUUAGAGACGAGGAAACCGAGGUGCCGACAGGUUUGAGGAACUUGUCCAUUGCACAAAGCCAGGCUUCGCAUCUCAGCGUCUCCGACCGGAACCCUCCCCAUCCUCCGGCUGCUUCUGAAUGAGCAGCCUCAGGACCCUGCGGUCUGGAGGGAAAGGUUUGGCCAAAUGCCACCAAGCACUGGUCAGGGAACGGGCUGCACACUUGAUGCCCUGUCCCCGAGGCGCCAGCCGCGGAGCCUAACCUCAGAUGUCCAGUAGAAGACAGCCUGUCACCGGUACCCACCAGAGCCCCUUCCGUGUUUCCAGCCUCCCGUGCUGCACCUGGUUCCCCAGUGCCAAGCUGGCGUGGACCUGGAGGAAGGAGGAGGCAGACCGUGGACCCCAGCUGUGGUGACAGUGCCCUGGCUAUGAAAGGGCCACUUCUUAGCCACGGGGCUGCCAGGAGUGCAAAAAAAUGGGCUUCCUCAGAUACACUUCUCCGAAGGAACUCCUAAGGGGAUAUGAAAAUUGUCCCAUUUAUAUUUAUUCAUAUCAGAUGAACAUUCGUUUCAGGCCCAACAUGAUACCUUCGUGGAGCCAAACGAAUCUACUACUUAAGCCACUUGCGGGAAGCAAAGCACAGCCAUAUUCAGAAAAUAAUGAGAAAGACCAUUAAGUCAAAGGAAAAAGGAAAACAAGUCAAUAAAUCAACUGUGUGUGGCACUACAGAAAAGAUUAAGAACGCCAAGGUGACAUAAGCAUUAAACAUUGUUAUUAAUCUGGGGAAACUUGAUUCCAGUCACAAUGUUCUUUCCUCUACCAGGCAGUGUGCACCUCUACGUGAAUUAGGAAAAGGCAUCCCUUCCUCAAGAUACGUUAUUGCUGUCGGCCGGAAAAAACCUAGGAUGACCUCUAUGAGAAUGGUGUCCCUGAAGUUGCUCAGUGCGUGACAUGCGCCACUGUACAGGGUGGCCGGGAAUGCAAAGCACGCUUGGAUAUCCUUCACGGCAGAGGGUCAUACAGGCCACUGAUCAGGCUGAAGCUUCCCAAGCGCCAACUACAGUUUCCUUUGUGAUCAGGAGCUGAGAUAAAAGACAGGUGUCGCAGAUGUCUGAGCAGCCCCUGUAUCUGUAGGGCUCAAAGAAGUAGGGUCUCCUUUGGUGACCUCAGGGGCACUCACAAUACAUAAUCACAGAGGGGCUGUGCAUCCUGGCUUGUAUGCAGCUGCUGCUUGCCAUCAUAUGACACUUAAUAUUGUAGGUACUGUGAAAAAAAAAAAAAAAAAACCAGGGAGCCUGGGUGGCUCAGUCGGUUAAGCAUCUGAUUUCAGCUCAGGUCACAAUCUUGCAGUCUGUGAGUUCAAGCCCCACAUCAGGCUCUGUGCUGACAGCUCAGAGCCUGGAGCCUGCUUCAGAUUCUGGGUCUCCCCCUCUCUCUGCCCCUCCCCUGCUCAUGCUCUGUCUCUCAAUAAUAAAUUAACGUUAAAAUUGUUUUAAAUAAAUAAAAAACACAUAAUUUAUUAGGUUU